GUGCAGCAGGCGAGAAACUUUACAAUGUGCGAAAGCACGAUAAGGGAACUCUGAGUGCCUCCUAAGGAGGCUGUUCAGGUGUCUAAAAGCACCUGGAGUAAGGGCUGGGUAAGACCGGUGCCAGCCGCCGCGGUAACACCGGCAGCCCAGGUGGUAGCCACUUUUAUUGGGUCUAAAGCGUCCGUAGCCGGUUGAGUAAGUUCCUUGGGAAAUUUGGCUGCUCAACAGUCAAGCUUCCAGGGAAUACUGCUCGACUUGGGGACUGGGAGAGGUCAGAGGUACUCCAGGGGUAGGGGUGAAAUCCAUUAAUCCCUGGGGGACCACCGGUAGCGAAGGCGUCUGACCAGACCAGGUCCGACGGUGAGGGACGAAGGCUAGGGGCGCGAACCGGAUUAGAUACCCGUGUAGU
RNAcentral lists this ribosomal RNA (409 nucleotides) under uncultured microorganism. RNAcentral describes it as "bacterial SSU rRNA". It matches the Rfam family "Archaeal small subunit ribosomal RNA", at positions 330 to 745 of the family's 1478-position model. The record is from RNAcentral.